Molecule: unclassified non-coding RNA, 517 nt
Filed under: Hevea brasiliensis (rubber tree)
Lineage: Eukaryota; Viridiplantae; Streptophyta; Magnoliopsida; Malpighiales; Euphorbiaceae
Source: RNAcentral
GUCGUCUCUAGGAAUAAUAAUCUUAAAAAGGGAGAGAAAUGGCAGAUAAUUCGAUUCUAUGUUCUGCUUGUUAUACGAUUCUAAGUCUUUUCUUGCUCUUUUCUUGCCUCUCCGCCCUUUCUCUUUCCGUAAACGACUUGGGUCCAUCAAAUACAUUCACUGUUUCGAGCUUCAGGUACCCUAAAUCUGCAGUCCAGCCUUACGAUUUGCGUUAUAUUCGAGGAUGCUAAAAGCAUAUCAAAGGUUCCUAAAAGCACACUGCCUAUGAUCUGCUUCAGAGAUGGCAGCCCACCUCUGCCAGAUGUCCUAAACAGUUCUAUUGUAGAAUUAGGUCCUAUCUCAAAUGCGUCAUUUGAAGCACUAACGGGUUCUCAGAAUGUUCAGUGCUAUCCAAUGCAGAAAAAUAUAAAGGUGGAGUUGACAAAUGAACAGAUAUCUCCUGGAGUUUGGUAUCUUGGUCUCUUCAAUGGCAUUGGACCUACAAGGUCGCAAUCAAAAAUGAUUAUCCGCAGCCCAG